RNAcentral lists this ribosomal RNA (436 nucleotides) under uncultured bacterium. RNAcentral's name for it is "partial 16S ribosomal RNA". It matches the Rfam family "Bacterial small subunit ribosomal RNA", at positions 29 to 507 of the family's 1533-position model. The record is from RNAcentral.
AACGAACGCUGGCGGCAUGCCUAACACAUGCAAGUCGAACGAGAUCCUUCGGGGUCUAGUGGCGCACGGGUGCGUAACGCGUGGGAAUCUGCCCUUAGGUUCGGAUUAAAAGUAAGAAAGGCCGCCAAAAACGGGAGGAGACCGUAAAGCCAAAAGAUUUAUCGCCUGAGGAUGGGCCCGCGUAGGAUUAGCUAGUUGGUGUGGUAAAGGCGCACCAAGGCGACGAUCCUUAGCUGGUCUGAGAGGAUGAUCAGCCACACUGGGACUGAGACACGGCCCAGACUCCUACGGGAGGCAGCAGUGGGGAAUAUUGGACAAUGGGCGCAAGCCUGAUCCAGCAAUGCCGCGUGAGUGAUGAAGGCCUUAGGGUUGUAAAGCUCUUUUACCCGAGAUGAUAAUGACAGUAUCGGGAGAAUAAGCCCCGGCUAACUCCGUG